UGGGGAAUUUUGGACAAUGGGCGAAANCCUGAUCCAGCAAUGCCGCGUGUGUGAAGAAGGCCUUCGGGUUGUAAAGCACUUUUGUCCGGAAAGAAAUCCUUGGCUCUAAUACAGUCGGGGGAUGACGGUACCGGAAGAAUAAGCACCGGCUAACUACGUGCCAGCAGCCGCGGUAAUACGUAGGGUGCAAGCGUUAAUCGGAAUUACUGGGCGUAAAGCGUGCGCAGGCGGUUUGCUAAGACCGAUGUGAAAUCCCCGGGCUCAACCUGGGAACUGCAUUGGUGACUGGCAGGCUAGAGUAUGGCAGAGGGGGGUAGAAUUCCACGUGUAGCAGUGAAAGUGCGUAGAGAUGUGGAGGAAUACCGAUGGCGAAGGCAGCCCCCUGGGCC
RNAcentral lists this ribosomal RNA (389 nucleotides) under uncultured bacterium. Its description in RNAcentral is "partial 16S ribosomal RNA". It matches the Rfam family "Bacterial small subunit ribosomal RNA", at positions 355 to 735 of the family's 1533-position model. The record is from RNAcentral.